UGCCGGCGACCGGCGCACGGGUGCGUAACGCGUAUCAAACCUGCCUCGUACUCGGGGAUAGCCUUGCGAAAGUAAGAUUAAUACCCGAUGUUGUUGCUUUCUCGCAUGGGGGAGUAACCAAAGAUUUAUCGGUAUGAGAUGGUGAUGCGUCCGAUUAGGUAGUAGGCGGGGUAACGGCCCACCUAGCCUUCGAUCGGUAGGGGUUCUGAGAGGAAGGUCCCCCACACUGGAACUGAGACACUGUCCAG
Molecule: ribosomal RNA, 248 nt
Filed under: uncultured Bacteroidales bacterium
Lineage: Bacteria; Pseudomonadati; Bacteroidota; Bacteroidia; Bacteroidales
Description: partial 16S ribosomal RNA
Rfam family: Bacterial small subunit ribosomal RNA
Source: RNAcentral